AAGAACGCUGGCGGCAUGCCUAACACAUGCAAGUCGAACGAAGCCUUCGGGCUUAGUGGCGCACGGGUGCGUAACACGUGGGAAUCUGCCCUUCGGUUCGGAAUAACAGUUAGAAAUGACUGCUAAUACCGGAUGAUGACGUAAGUCCAAAGAUUUAUCGCCGAAGGAUGAGCCCGCGUAGGAUUAGGUAGUUGGUAGGGUAAUGGCCUACCAAGCCGACGAUCCUUAGCUGGUCUGAGAGGAUGAUCAGCCACACUGGGACUGAGACACGGCCCAGACUCCUACGGGAGGCAGCAGUGGGGAAUAUUGGACAAUGGGCGAAAGCCUGAUCCAGCAAUGCCGCGUGAGUGAUGAAGGCCUUAGGGUUGUAAAGCUCUUUUACCAGGGAUGAUAAUGACAGUACCUGGAGAAUAAGCUCCGGCUAACUCCGUG
Molecule: ribosomal RNA, 432 nt
Filed under: uncultured bacterium
Lineage: Bacteria
Description: bacterial SSU rRNA
Rfam family: Bacterial small subunit ribosomal RNA
Source: RNAcentral